CGCGUAGGCGGGCUUUUAAGUCAGAUGUGAAAUCCCUGGGCUCAACCUAGGAACAGCAUUUGAAACUGGAAGUCUUGAGGGUAGUCGGAGAAAAUGGAAUUCCACGUGUAGCGGUGAAAUGCGUAGAUAUGUGGAAGAACACCGGUGGCGAAGGCGAUUUUCUAGAUUAUCCCUGACGCUGAUGCGCGAAAGUAAGGGGAUCAAACA
Molecule: ribosomal RNA, 207 nt
Filed under: uncultured bacterium
Lineage: Bacteria
Description: partial 16S ribosomal RNA
Rfam family: Bacterial small subunit ribosomal RNA
Source: RNAcentral